GAACAACGAUGUUGUCAUAAUUCUAAUCACAACAUAUGUUUGAAAUAUUUUUUUGGUUAUACAAAAACAAACAAUUAUAACAUGCUUCUUUAUAAAAAUUAGAACUAUUGCUUCCAAGGAUGACUCCCUAGGCACGGGAAUCAUUCUAAAGCUGCCUUUGAGUAAACUAUGAUGACAAGGGGCUUUCAACCAAGAACCAGAAUUUGCUUGACUACCCACAAAGGUCAAAACUAUUCUUUACAACUUCAAAAAAGCUAAAUAUAAUCCAAAAAUAAUUAUAGAGAGGUUAGUUAGUAAAACUAAGUCAUGACUACAAUAUGGAAGGGGGGAAAUGAUUGUUUUUAUCCCAAAGAUGAAUACCCUAGUAUCAUAAGCAAUAGCAUUGUGCAAGCAUCAACUGCAAUACAAAUAGCAGUAGCCUCUCAAUCCCUCGCUAUCUCUCUACAACUCUUUACUACUCUCUUUUAUUCCUCUCCCAAGGCCACACAUGACAACAACAACAACACGCUUAAUCUCUCUUCUUCCUCCCAAAAUUAGCAGCCAAUCUUUCUUCUUCCCCUCAAAUCGAACAUCAAUAGCACAGGCACCGCUGGCCACCACACCGAUCACUCCAUCGUGCAUCCCAUCGUCCAGACGCACUACACUCAUGCACACGCCCACCUCUCUCUCCAACUCCUCACCCCCGCCCCACUGCGAUCAAGGCAGAAAAAAAGAGUAUGUUGGCCUUUAUUAACUUUAUUAAUUGUCGCAUGGUUCAUCAAGGAGAUUACCUACACCAACAUUCAUCAACAAGAAAAUACCACGUAUGGCACAAGUUGGUGUGUUAGCUUCCUUGGGUAAUGCUGGAAGGUCUUCACAACCUGGAUAAGUAAAGUUUGAAAGGUUAUAACCUUGACUAACAGAAUAAAAUGAAUUUUAAUGCACACACAUGUACAUACGUCUCUAUUAUUUUCUGCUCUUAUUUUUUAGAAUCAGGUAGCCCACUUUUUCUUUAGAAUCAGAGUGAAGUCCAUAUACUGCUUGCUCACAAGUGCCGGACAAUGGAAAACUUUGACAUCCUCCUGCGUGAUCUUAAACACUUGUAGGUAAUCUCCUCCUUCAUGCUUUCGAACUCCUAAACAGUGCACUACAGCUCCAGCAUCCAUGAGCCGUCGUGCCCUGUACGUGCAAUGCAGCUCCCACAUCGAUGAGGCGGCGGGCUCCAUCUCCUGGAGAUAGACAAGCCACCGGUGAAGCCGCUGAAUCCUCUCAUCCCCACUGUAGGAUAGCACUGCCCGACUGUAGGAUUGUUCUGUGGCAACACAUGGGCAACCAUGCAUCUAUUGCUGAUUGGGAUGGUGUGCAUAAAACUACAGGAUGAUCUUUGGUUUGGCUAGAUAAGCACUUGCACGUAGCAUGCCUAUAUCACUAUUCCCAUAGAUUAAGGUAAUUCAAAUGCAUUAGACUGGUCCAAUGUGGGUGACAUGUACACUUAGUAUUAACAUUCGGAAUGGGCAGAAAUGACUGACUGAAAGUAGGAAUGUCCGGUGUGCAGUGAAGUUUAAGUCCUACACAGGAAGGAGGUGAAAGAAGAUAGUUUGGCGGUUGGGUACGUACCAUGCUUACCAGUCGGUCGUGGGAGUUUAUGUCGGACUUCCAACCAAGCAGCAGGCACACCACCUCCAGCCACCAGUCGCAGGUUGUCACAUAUAGCACCGUGUGAGCUCCUCAACCCUGCCCAUGCCCCCGGCAUCCGUGACCA
This 1741-nucleotide long non-coding RNA is filed under the name Triticum aestivum (bread wheat). Its description in RNAcentral is "long non-coding RNA (TAES_LNC000107)". The record is from RNAcentral. Lineage: Eukaryota; Viridiplantae; Streptophyta; Magnoliopsida; Poales; Poaceae.